This 172-nucleotide small nuclear RNA is filed under the name Mus musculus (house mouse). RNAcentral's name for it is "U2 spliceosomal RNA". It matches the Rfam family "U2 spliceosomal RNA". From Rfam's summary of the family: U2 is a small nuclear RNA (snRNA) component of the spliceosome (involved in pre-mRNA splicing). Complementary binding between U2 snRNA (in an area lying towards the 5' end but 3' to hairpin I) and the branchpoint sequence (BPS) of the intron results the bulging out of an unpaired adenosine, on the BPS, which initiates a nucleophilic attack at the intronic 5' splice site, thus starting the first of two transesterification reactions that mediate splicing. The record is from Rfam by way of RNAcentral. Lineage: Eukaryota; Metazoa; Chordata; Mammalia; Rodentia; Muridae.
AUUGCUUCCUGGUCUUUUUGCUAAGAUCAAGCAUAGUAUCUGUUCUUAUCAGUUUAAUAACACACACAUGCUAAGUGUUGUCUUGAAGCAAAACAUUUGAAACAGGCAACUCAUGAGAUUUAGUUUUCUCUUGAAUGUAGUGCUAAUAACAUUCAUAUUUAGGAGACAAUAU